UUAGCCUAAUGGUGAUAUUCUUCUUUUCCAGCAGCAACUUUCCCGGAUUCGAUCGGCGUCGAAAUAAAUUCACUAGAACCGGACGGAGAUGACUGUUUUUGACUCAGCUCAACACCAAGAUAUUUCAACGAUAUUUUCUCAGUCACAGGCACGGACAGUGAUUCUUCACCAGCCACAGCAACUAUCUCAGCUUGGUGAUCCUCGAGCCGAUGUUGCGUUUAUUCGGCGAAUUCGCCACCUUGUCAACAAUAACACGUAGGGAGCUGUUUUUCUUCUUUUUCUUGCUUCGAAGGAGUUUGAAACGAUGCCGCCAUCGUAGAAAUUGGAUCCACUUGCCUGACUGAGCGAAUGGCUGUCACAUCUAGAAACACUAGGCGAGUCGCUUUUCUUUUUCUUAUGUCACAGCUUCCGUCCGGGAUGACUGAACUCUCAGCCUUCAGCAUCCAUAUUGAACAGAGAUGCCGGAACAAUACUGCAGUGUCUGGAAAACUGCCAGGAUUGCAG
Planococcus citri (citrus mealybug) is the source of this 504-nucleotide long non-coding RNA. RefSeq lists it as uncharacterized. The transcript is spliced from 4 exons. NCBI's taxonomy places the organism in Eukaryota, Metazoa, Arthropoda, Insecta, Hemiptera, Pseudococcidae. The record is from RefSeq and is a predicted model, not a curated record.